GAUCCUGGCUCAGGAUGAACGCUAGCUACAGGCUUAACACAUGCAAGUCGAGGGGCGAGCAUGAACUUAGCUUGCUAAGUUUGAUGGCGACCGGCGCACGGGUGAGUAACACGUAUCCAACCUGCCGAUGGACUCGGGGAUAGCCUUUCGAAAGAAAGAUUAAUACCCGAUGGCAUAGUUCUUCCGCAUGGUAGAACUAUUAAAGAAUUUCGGUCAUCGAUGGGGAUGCGUUCCAUUAGG
Molecule: ribosomal RNA, 240 nt
Filed under: uncultured bacterium
Lineage: Bacteria
Description: partial 16S ribosomal RNA
Rfam family: Bacterial small subunit ribosomal RNA
Source: RNAcentral